UAGGGAAUCUUCGGCAAUGGACGGAAGUCUGACCGAGCAACGCCGCGUGAGUGAAGAAGGUUUUAGGAUCGUAAAGCUCUGUUGUUAGAGAAGAACGUUGGUAGGAGUGGAAAAUCUACCAAGUGACGGUAACUAACCAGAAAGGGACGGCUAACUACGUGCCAGCAGCCGCGGUAAUACGUAGGUCCCGAGCGUUGUCCGGAUUUAUUGGGCGUAAAGCGAGCGCAGGCGGUUCUUUAAGUCUGAAGUUAAAGGCAGUGGCUUAACCAUUGUACGCUUUGGAAACUGGAUGACUUGAGUGCAGAAGGGGAGAGUGGAAUUCCAUGUGUAGCGGUGAAAUGCGUAGAUAUAUGGAGGAACACCGGUGGCGAAAGCGGCUCUCUGGUCUGUAACUGACGCUGAGGCUCGAAAGCGUGGGGAGCAAACAGG
Molecule: ribosomal RNA, 429 nt
Filed under: Bacillota bacterium
Lineage: Bacteria; Bacillati; Bacillota
Description: Firmicutes bacterium partial 16S ribosomal RNA
Rfam family: Bacterial small subunit ribosomal RNA
Source: RNAcentral